RNAcentral lists this ribosomal RNA (253 nucleotides) under uncultured bacterium. Its description in RNAcentral is "partial 16S ribosomal RNA". It matches the Rfam family "Bacterial small subunit ribosomal RNA", at positions 524 to 776 of the family's 1533-position model. The record is from RNAcentral.
UACGUAGGGGGCAAGCGUUGUCCGGAUUUACUGGGCGUAAAGGGCGCGUAGGCGGCGCAACAAGUCACUUGUGAAAUCUCCGGGCUUAACCCGGAGCGGCCAAGUGAUACUGUCGUGCUAGAGUGCGGAAGGGGCUACUGGAAUUCUCGGUGUAGCGGUGAAAUGCGUAGAUAUCGAGAGGAACACCUGCGGCGAAGGCGGGUAGCUGGGCCGACACUGACGCUGAGGCGCGAAAGCCAGGGGAGCGAACGGG